CCUACGGGCGGCAGCAGUGGGGAAUAUUGGGCAAUGGGCGCAAGCCUGACCCAGCAACGCCGCGUGAAGGAAGAAGGCUUUCGGGUUGUAAACUUCUUUUCUGGGGGACGAACAAAUGACGGUACCCCAGGAAUAAGCCACGGCUAACUACGUGCCAGCAGCCGCGGUAAUACGUAGGUGGCAAGGGUUAUCCGGAUUUAUUGGGUGUAAAGGGCGUGUAGGCGGGAAUGCAAGCCAGAUGUGAAAACUAUGGGCACAACCCAUAGCCUGCAUUUGAAACUGUAUGGCUUGAGUGAGGGAGAGGCAAGCGGAAUUGCGGGUGUAGCGGUGAAAGGCGUAGAGAUACGGAGGAACACCGGUGGCGAAGGCGGAUUGCUGGACAGUAACUGACGCUGAGGCGCGAAAGCGUGGGGAGCGAACAGGAUUAGAGACCCUUGUAGUC
RNAcentral lists this ribosomal RNA (442 nucleotides) under uncultured bacterium. Its description in RNAcentral is "partial 16S ribosomal RNA". It matches the Rfam family "Bacterial small subunit ribosomal RNA", at positions 338 to 795 of the family's 1533-position model. The record is from RNAcentral.